AAUGAACGCUGGCGGCGCGCCUAAUACAUGCAAGUCGAGCGAGAAGACGUAGCAAUACGUUUGUAAAGCGGCGAACGGGUGAGGAAUACAUGGGUAACCUACCCUCGAGUGGGGAAUAACUAGCCGAAAGGUUAGCUAAUACCGCGUACGCUCCUUGGACUUCGGUUCAGGGAGGAAAGCGAUACCGUGGGUAUCGCGCUCUUGGAUGGGCUCAUGUCCUAUCAGCUUGUUGGUGAGGUAACGGCUCACCAAGGCUUCGACGGGUAGCUGGUCUGAGAGGACGAUCAGCCACACUGGCACUGCGACACGGGCCAGACUCCUGCGGGAGGCAGCAGUAAGGAAUAUUGCGCAAUGGGCGAAAGCCUGACGCAGCGACGCCGCGUGAGGGAUGACGGCCUGG
RNAcentral lists this ribosomal RNA (400 nucleotides) under uncultured bacterium. RNAcentral describes it as "bacterial SSU rRNA". It matches the Rfam family "Bacterial small subunit ribosomal RNA", at positions 29 to 419 of the family's 1533-position model. The record is from RNAcentral.